This 206-nucleotide long non-coding RNA is filed under the name Setaria italica (foxtail millet). RNAcentral describes it as "long non-coding RNA (SITA_LNC002352)". Lineage: Eukaryota; Viridiplantae; Streptophyta; Magnoliopsida; Poales; Poaceae. The record is from RNAcentral.
UUCCUCUAUGAUACAAAAAAGCGAAAUAAAAUUGAAUCAUUUAUUUAUCUACGUGGGAUAUUUUAUAUCACUGCUGGAAUAAUUAUUUGUAGACCGAAACAUUGCAAAUCCGAUAGAUUUUUAUAGAAAAUAUGUCACCCCUAAUUUUAGGAACAUUUUAUUUCUUAGCCACAAAUAUUUUAUUUCACUCUAGGAACACAUUUUCC